RNAcentral lists this long non-coding RNA (381 nucleotides) under Coffea arabica (coffee). Its description in RNAcentral is "long non-coding RNA (CARA_LNC000091)". Lineage: Eukaryota; Viridiplantae; Streptophyta; Magnoliopsida; Gentianales; Rubiaceae. The record is from RNAcentral.
ACGAGUUGAAAUGUUCAAUCACUGCUACACUGAUAACAAAGGAAACCCAUCUAGUAGUGCAGCAGCUAAUAUUAUGGUAAGUAAAAUCUUUCAUUAUACUGUUUACUUGCUUUAAAAUAUGUUAGAAAGAUCUAUCCAUUACUUUCUAAUCUAUAUUAGGAUUGUACAAAUGUAAUCAUUGUUUUACUCUUUACACUUUUGCAGCUUGCAAUGAAUGAAAAGGUUAGUCAAUUGCCUCCUGAUACUGAAGAUUCUGUUGGAAAAAAUGAUGUAUUUGCACAAGUAGUUGGGCAAGACAAGCAUGGGCAUGUACGAAUGUAUGGUUUUGGUAUAUGUCCAACUGAUGUGUGGGGUGAUGAACCUAGUCGAAGUGGAUCUCAG